This 463-nucleotide ribosomal RNA is filed under the name uncultured bacterium. RNAcentral's name for it is "partial 16S ribosomal RNA". It matches the Rfam family "Bacterial small subunit ribosomal RNA", at positions 32 to 523 of the family's 1533-position model. The record is from RNAcentral.
AAUCAACGCUGGCGGCGUGCCUAACACAUGCAAGUCGCACGAGAAAGGGUCUUCGGAUCUGAGUAAAGUGGCGCACGGGUGAGUAACACGUGAAUUAUCUACCUUCGAGUGGGGAAUAACUUCGGGAAACCGAGGCUAAUACCGCAUAAUAUCUCCGCGUCAAAGCAGUAAUGCGCUUGAAGAGGAGUUCGCGGCAGAUUAGUUAGUUGGCGGGGUAAUGGCCCACCAAGACGAUGAAAUGUAUCCAGCCUGAGAGGGCGCACGGACACACUGGAACUGAAACACGGUCCAGACUCCUACGGGAGGCAGCAGUGGGGAAUUUUGCGCAAUGGGGGAAACCCUGACGCAGCAACGCCGCGUGGAGGAUGAAGUCUCUUGGGACGUAAACUCCUUUCGAUAGGGAAGAUUAUGACGGUACCUAUAGAAGAAGCCCCGGCUAACUUCGUGCCAGCCGCCGCCGUAA